GUGAAUCAUCGAAUCUUUGAACGCACAUUGCGCCCCUUGGUAUUCCAUGGGGCAUGCCUGUUCGAGCGUCAUUUGUACCUUCAAGCUCUGCUUGGUGUUGGGUGUUUGUCUCGCCUUUGCGUGUAGACUCGCCUUAAAACAAUUGGCAGCCGGCGUAUUGAUUUCGGAGCGCAGUACAUCUCGCGCUUUGCACUCAUAACGACGACGUCCAAAAAGUACUUUUUACACUCUUGACCUCGGAUCAGGUAGGGAUACCCGCUGAACUUAAGCAUAUCAAUAAGCGGAGGA
RNAcentral lists this unclassified non-coding RNA (288 nucleotides) under Phoma sp. RNAcentral's name for it is "partial contains 5.8S ribosomal RNA, internal transcribed spacer 2, and large subunit ribosomal RNA". The stretch from base 1 to 71 matches the Rfam family "5.8S ribosomal RNA", at positions 84 to 154 of the family's 154-position model. The record is from RNAcentral. RNAcentral also lists the same sequence under 1 other name. Lineage: Eukaryota; Fungi; Ascomycota; Dothideomycetes; Pleosporales; Didymellaceae.